RNAcentral lists this ribosomal RNA (247 nucleotides) under uncultured bacterium. Its description in RNAcentral is "partial 16S ribosomal RNA". It matches the Rfam family "Bacterial small subunit ribosomal RNA", at positions 523 to 769 of the family's 1533-position model. The record is from RNAcentral.
AUACGAGGGGAGCUAGCGUUGUUCGGAAUUACUGGGCGUAAAGCGCGCGUAGGCGGUUUUUUAAGUCAGAGGUGAAAGCCCGGGGCUCAACCCCGGAAUAGCCUUUGAAACUGGAAAACUAGAAUCUUGGAGAGGUCAGUGGAAUUCCGAGUGUAGAGGUGAAAUUCGUAGAUAUUCGGAAGAACACCAGUGGCGAAGGCGACUGACUGGACAAGUAUUGACGCUGAGGUGCGAGAGCGUGGGGAUC